This 878-nucleotide ribosomal RNA is filed under the name uncultured bacterium. RNAcentral's name for it is "bacterial SSU rRNA". It matches the Rfam family "Bacterial small subunit ribosomal RNA", at positions 8 to 915 of the family's 1533-position model. The record is from RNAcentral.
AGAGUUUGAUCCUGGCUCAGGAUGAACGCUGGCGGCGUGCCUAACACAUGCAAGUCGAGCGAUUCUCUUCGGAGAAGAGCGCCGGACGGGUGAGUAACGCGUGGGUAACCUGCCCUGUACACACGGAUAACAUACCGAAAGGUAUGCUAAUACGAGAUAAUAUACUUUUAUCGCAUGGUAGAAGUAUCAAAGCUCCGGCGGUACAGGAUGGACCCGCGUCUGAUUAGCUAGUUGGUAAGGUAACGGCUUACCAAGGCGACGAUCAGUAGCCGACCUGAGAGGGUGAUCGGCCACAUUGGAACUGAGACACGGUCCAAACUCCUACGGGAGGCAGCAGUGGGGAAUAUUGCACAAUGGGCGAAAGCCUGAUGCAGCAACGCCGCGUGAGCGAUGAAGGCCUUCGGGUCGUAAAGCUCUGUCCUCAAGGAAGAUAAUGACGGUACUUGAGGAGGAAGCCCCGGCUAACUACGUGCCAGCAGCCGCGGUAAUACGUAGGGGGCUAGCGUUAUCCGGAAUUACUGGGCGUAAAGGGUGCGUAGGUGGUUUCUUAAGUCAGAGGUGAAAGGCUACGGCUCAACCGUAGUAAGCCUUUGAAACUGGGAAACUUGAGUGCAGGAGAGGAGAGUGGAAUUCCUAGUGUAGCGGUGAAAUGCGUAGAUAUUAGGAGGAACACCAGUUGCGAAGGCGGCUCUCUGGACUGUAACUGACACUGAGGCACGAAAGCGUGGGGAGCAAACAGGAUUAGAUACCCUGGUAGUCCACGCCGUAAACGAUGAGUACUAGCUGUCGGAGGUUACCCCCUUCGGUGGCGCAGCUAACGCAUUAAGUACUCCGCCUGGGAAGUACGCUCGCAAGAGUGAAACUCAAAGGAAUUGACG